UGGUGCAGUGGUUAAGCGUUUGGCUGCUAACCAAAAGAUUGGUGGUUCAAGCCCACC
RNAcentral lists this transfer RNA (57 nucleotides) under Loxodonta africana (African savanna elephant). It matches the Rfam family "tRNA", at positions 1 to 63 of the family's 71-position model. From Rfam's summary of the family: Transfer RNA (tRNA) molecules are approximately 80 nucleotides in length. Their secondary structure includes four short double-helical elements and three loops (D, anti-codon, and T loops). The record is from Rfam by way of RNAcentral. Lineage: Eukaryota; Metazoa; Chordata; Mammalia; Proboscidea; Elephantidae.